UUGGCUUGUUACCGGUGGUCGGCUGUGCACAACUUUCAUCUGACAUGCCUAUUUGUUCGUCUGGUAAGGCUUUGAUUGCUUGAACAAAUUGCGGGUUUCUUGUGUUGCUUGCCUAACAAACGGUAUUGAUUUGGCUUAUYUAAGUUUUGUACGUCGUUUGUCAUGUGUAUGACAUUAGAUGAACCCUAAACAUGUCUUUUUAAACCACAUCAUUAACGCUUGAGUUGAUGUAGUGGCGCAUUGAGCCUUGCGUGGUCUCUUUGAUGUAGUGCUUGAUGUGGGCAUGGGUCUGUUGUGAUCCUUGUUAUGUCCCUCAUUAGUGUUUACGCUUCGUNNNAUGACUGCUUGACNCGCGUUGGCUCGUNNNAGUGUGUUGGGCUUUGUCKNNNAGGNNUGUKACCUGGU
RNAcentral lists this unclassified non-coding RNA (405 nucleotides) under Diacranthera crenata. Its description in RNAcentral is "partial contains external transcribed spacer and 18S ribosomal RNA". The record is from RNAcentral. Lineage: Eukaryota; Viridiplantae; Streptophyta; Magnoliopsida; Asterales; Asteraceae.